GGGGAUUUAGCUCAGCGGUAGAGCGCUUGCCUAGCGAGCUGGAGGCCCUGGGUUCGGUCCCCAGCUCCG
Non-coding RNA from Rattus norvegicus (Norway rat), 69 nucleotides. The record is from Rfam. NCBI's taxonomy places the organism in Eukaryota, Metazoa, Chordata, Mammalia, Rodentia, Muridae.